GUAGUCCAUGCCGUAAACGUUGGGCGCUAGGUGUGGGACUCAUUCCACGAGUUCCGUGCCGCAGCUAACGCAUUAAGCGCCCCGCCUGGGGAGUACGGCCGCAAGGCUAAAACUCAAAGGAAUUGACGGGGGCCCGCACAAGCGGCGGAGCAUGCGGAUUAAUUCGAUGCAACGCGAAGAACCUUACCAAGGCUUGACAUAUACCGGAAACAUCCAGAGAUGGGUGCCCCUUUUAGGUCGGUAUACAGGUGGUGCAUGGUUGUCGUCAGCUCGUGUCGUGAGAUGUUGGGUUAAGUCCCGCAACGAGCGCAACCCUCGUUCUAUGUUGCCAGCACGUGAUGGUGGGGACUCAUGGAAGACUGCCGGGGUCAACUCGGA
This 378-nucleotide ribosomal RNA is filed under the name uncultured bacterium. Its description in RNAcentral is "bacterial SSU rRNA". It matches the Rfam family "Bacterial small subunit ribosomal RNA", at positions 790 to 1167 of the family's 1533-position model. The record is from RNAcentral.